This 592-nucleotide long non-coding RNA is filed under the name Homo sapiens (human). Its description in RNAcentral is "HSALNT0259887". Lineage: Eukaryota; Metazoa; Chordata; Mammalia; Primates; Hominidae. The record is from RNAcentral.
GCCGGAUCCGCCCACCCCUCCCUAGCGCCCCGGGCCAUUUAAAGAAGUGCAACUGGCAGGGGGCGGGGCAGCGACUCCGGGGUGGAGGGCGGCCGGUCCAACAGAACCGCUUCCUUCCACUCAGCUACAGUCCUCGCUCCAAGAUCGUCACCAUUGCUCCCUGCGGUUCCUUUAUGCACGUCCUCUGGUGGUCCCACCUGGGUCUUCUGACACCCUCUUUCCUUCCCCGCUCCAUCAAGAUGACUCCUCUGCUACUGUUCAUGGCUUCCUACCCACCCCGAAUACAAACUUCAAACUCCUUCCUUUUGCCACAAAGCCCCUCACGACCUUGCUUGAUGCGUUCUCCUGGUUCUCUCCGAUCCUGCCCCAUUGAGUCACUUCCAGUUUUUCUAAAAUGGCUUCAAGCUCCCAUUCACCCCAUCAGGAAAACGAAAGGAUUUUCUCUGUUUGUUUUCUUCCCUGCUUUACCCCAGUGUCUACAACAAUGCCAGGUACAUAAUAAGUUCGCAAACAUGACAAUAAAAGGCCUCUGGAUCUUUAUUAUUAAUAUUAUUUUUUGCCGGGCGCAGUGGCGCACGCCUGUAAUCCCAGC